RNAcentral lists this long non-coding RNA (905 nucleotides) under Vulpes vulpes (red fox). RNAcentral describes it as "lncRNA (ENSVVUG00000001238.1)". The record is from RNAcentral. Lineage: Eukaryota; Metazoa; Chordata; Mammalia; Carnivora; Canidae.
CAGGAGAUAUAUAGGUUACAUUCUAACAGAGCUUGUUCUCAUACCCAAACUAGGCUCAGUAUUCCCACCAAUCCAAGCUGAAAAGAAAUCGGAUGGGAAGGAUGUGGGGGCAAAAUCCCGGGGAAUGGCAGUAUCAGGAUUGGAACACAGAUCAACAACCCAUUCGUUGCAUAAUGACAUGACUAGCUGUAUAGAAUUGCGUAGCAUCCUCAUUCCAUUAGUGGGUUCAGUCAUCAACUGGUGCUGCUGCUAUGGUCUGGAGUCGAUCGAGAUGGCCAUCUCACCUGAGAAGGCUGGCUCUCACGACAGAGAUUUUAUGGCCCCAGUGGGGAAACCAGGUGGAAUUGUUCAGUCAAAGACAAAAAGCAAGACAAUUUUGAAGAUGAAAAAUGAUAUGCAGGCCCAUGAGGACCAGUUUUCACAGGAUCACCUCAUACUUAGAAGAGUACAACUUCAAUAUGAAAUAAAGCAAAUCAACAUGCAGAUCAUCCUGGCUCUCUUUAAAGAUUGCCUCAAGCACGGGACUUUAGGGUCAGUGCCUGGCCAGCAGGGAGGAGUCUUGUCAGGCACAGACAUCAGGCCGCAGCGGGUGGCCCUGCUGCCUCCCUGGCCACUCUACAAUCCCUCUGAAAUAGAGUUAUCCUAGAAAGUGACAGAUUACCAGCCCUAGAGGCUACAGCCCAAUGCUGCCUCCAACAGACAGCCAAGAACACGCAGAGGUAAAGGAAGCCACAGCACCUAAUCUAUGACCCAGAGAAGCUACUCCAGGGAAAAGGAGCAGCCACAUUUCAAUUGGAUCAAUAUUUGGUCUUUGUUUUCAAAUCUGCCCUCAGGCUACAAUAGUUACACUCAUCUUUACUACUGUGUGGGCUUUGGUGGAAUAAAAAGUGUGGCCAUUUCCUACA